Molecule: ribosomal RNA, 846 nt
Filed under: Empedobacter falsenii
Lineage: Bacteria; Pseudomonadati; Bacteroidota; Flavobacteriia; Flavobacteriales; Weeksellaceae
Description: bacterial SSU rRNA
Rfam family: Bacterial small subunit ribosomal RNA
Source: RNAcentral
GUUCUUUCGGGAACUAGAGACCGGCGCACGGGUGCGUAACGCGUAUGCAACUUGCCCUACUGAAAAGGAUAGCCCUUCGAAAGGAGGAUUAAUACUUUAUAACAGAUUUAAUGGCAUCAUUAGAUUUUGAAAGAUUUAUCGCAGUAGGAUAGGCAUGCGUAAGAUUAGUUAGUUGGUGAGGUAACGGCUCACCAAGACGAUGAUCUUUAGGGGGCCUGAGAGGGUGAACCCCCACACUGGUACUGAGACACGGACCAGACUCCUACGGGAGGCAGCAGUGAGGAAUAUUGGACAAUGGGUGGAAGCCUGAUCCAGCCAUCCCGCGUGUAGGAUGACGGCCUUAUGGGUUGUAAACUACUUUUAUCUGGGGAUAAACCUACUUACGUGUAAGUAGCUGAAGGUACCAGAAGAAUAAGCACCGGCUAACUCCGUGCCAGCAGCCGCGGUAAUACGGAGGGUGCAAGCGUUAUCCGGAUUUAUUGGGUUUAAAGGGUCCGUAGGCGGAUUAAUCAGUCAGUGGUGAAAUCUCAUAGCUUAACUAUGAAACUGCCAUUGAUACUGUUAGUCUUGAGUGAUGUUGAAGUUGCUGGAAUGUGUAGUGUAGCGGUGAAAUGCUUAGAUAUUACGCAGAACACCAAUUGCGAAGGCAGGUGACUAAACAUCAACUGACGCUGAUGGACGAAAGCGUGGGGAGCGAACAGGAUUAGAUACCCUGGUAGUCCACGCCGUAAACGAUGGAUACUUGCUGUUGGGUUUUCGGAUUCAGUGGCUAAGCGAAAGUUAUAAGUAUCCCACCUGGGGAGUACGUUCGCAAGAAUGAAACUCAAAGGAAUUGACGGGGGCCCG